This is a long non-coding RNA of Herpailurus yagouaroundi (jaguarundi), 1708 nucleotides long. RefSeq lists it as uncharacterized. The record is from RefSeq and is a predicted model, not a curated record. The transcript has 3 exons. NCBI's taxonomy places the organism in Eukaryota, Metazoa, Chordata, Mammalia, Carnivora, Felidae.
UCUGCCCCUCCUCUGCUCAUGCUCUGUCUCUCUCUGUCUCAAAAAUCAAUAUAAACAUUAAAAAAAAAAUUGUAUUUACUCCUGACCAGGAAAGUAGGACCCUGCCAAAGGAAGCAAACUCUGAAUCUUGGAAGCCUCCUAAAGGUCCUUUCUAACUUGACGAUGUAAAUUCAGGGGAGUUGACCGAACAGGCAUUGCCCUGUUAGGCUCCAGCCAGGUAUUCACAGGCUCAAGGGGAAUGAUAACCACCACUGACAGGGUUAAACCCCAGUGGGACCAAAACUAUUCCCAUUAAAAUGGUGCUGUUCAUGGAUUCACUCACAGGGAUUGUUGCAUUUGCUCAUUCAAGCCACAGGUCAGUUAGGUUUUCCGCACAUCUGGGAAAUAAAUCUCCUAGCCUGAAAUAAGCAGUUAUUCUCAAUAUCUUGCAAAGAUGGGCGCGGCUGCUAAGAUCUUUUUGUGACCGGAGGCAGAUCUGAUUUGGAUAAUCAUGAGAAAGUGGGGGCACAAAUAUAAUGCAAUUUAUGUAGAUAUUUGUGUCUAAUUAGGUAAAUACAGUUUCAUGGGACAAAGGUUAAAAAAAUGGGCACUGGUUUUCUGGCCUUAAGAGUUGAACACAAUAAGAGACUCUUAAGCGGGGCGGGGGGUGGGGGGGUUGUCAAUUAAAGCUUGUGGUGACAUUGAGAAUAGAUGAGAAGGUCAUAGGGAGGGACUAGGAGGUCCCUAGCAUUAUAGAUAGAUUGAAAUCCUUGAUGACGAAUCCAGCAGUCGGAAAAGUUACUCCCUUAUCUGUGGCCUGGUAAGUACAGUUACUGGCCUUAUCUUUCCAGGCCAAUGACAGAAUAAAGGAAAAAAAAAAAAGAGAAGGAGAAAGAGUUGCAUGUUUCAAGUAUGAAGUCUUGAUCAGUGUCUUGGGUGGAAGCAAUCUACCUUGAUGUCCGCCACAUGGGAGGCCUCCAGUGUCUGCACGGGACCACAUGUCAGGCGGAGCCUUCGUUAGCGGUGACAUGUGUGUCUGAGGCUCAGUAUCUGCUAGUUUCAUGCCAGUGUCAGUGGUCAGGAGUACUUGGUCAGGUUCCUUCCAACAGGGUUCAAGAGCUGUCUUCCUGGGAUGACGUUUCCAGAAUAUCCAAUCACCAGGCUCCACACUGUGACCAUCAGGAUUCCAUGACCUGGGAUCCAGGAAAGCUUCUUUAACCUGUUGAUGAUAAGCCUACGCAUCAGUCAUUAAAGACACAGUAACUGGUUAUACUAGCCUGAGACAACAAGGGACAGCAAGCAGAAACAUGACUGUUUCAUGUGGGGUGAGUUUAUGUCUCCCAAAGUGGAUACUGUAAACAGUCAUCGAGGCCAGAGGCCAUACCUGAGAUGGGUAGUUUUAGCAAGUUUAGAGAUUUUUAAGUUUGAGGACCCCAUUAGUUCUCCCGACCUUGCCUGAUACUUGAGGGUGAUAAGGACAGUGAUAAUUCCAAAAAGCUCGUAAGGUUUUCAUCAAGGCCAUGUGAUUUCACCAGUGAUGUGGGGGCCUCGAUCACUGGAGAUUGUGGAAGGUAUACCCCAAGUGGGGAACAAAUCUUCUGACAACUUCUUUGCCGCUGUGAGGGCAUCAGGGGAAGGCUUCAGCCCAUCCGGAACACAUACAUGCACUAACAAGGACACAUUGAUAACCCACAGUAGGUGGCAUUUGAAUCUAGCCCAUAUACCCAAA